RNAcentral lists this ribosomal RNA (497 nucleotides) under uncultured bacterium. Its description in RNAcentral is "partial 16S ribosomal RNA". It matches the Rfam family "Bacterial small subunit ribosomal RNA", at positions 28 to 507 of the family's 1533-position model. The record is from RNAcentral.
GAUGAACGCUAGCGGCGUGCCUAAUACAUGCAAGUCGAGCGAACGGUCGAGGAGCUUGCUCCUCUGACGUUAGCGGCGUACGUGUGAGUUACACGUUGUUACCCUACCUAUCAGACUGGGCUAACUUCGAGAAACUGCAGCUAAUACCGGAUAACAUGUUGAACCGCUUGUUUCAACAGUUCACGACAGUCUUGCUGUUCCUUACAGAUGGCUCCCUGCCGCAUUAGCUAUUUGGUCAGGUAACGGCUUACCAAGGCAACGAUGCGUAGGCGACCUGAGAGGGUGAUCGGGCACACUGGAUCUGGGACACGGUCCAGACGCCUACGCUAGGCAGCAGUAGGGUAUCGUCCACAACAGGCUAAAGGCUAACCGAACAAAGCCACGUGAGUGAAGAGGGUCGUCGGAUCGUAAAACUCUGCUAUUAGGGAAGGACAAGAGUGUAAGCAACUACGCGCGUUAUGACGGUACCUAAUCAGAAAGCCACGGCUAACUACGUG